NCUGUCCGGUGACAAUAAGUUUAACGGCCGCGGUAUUUUAACCGUGGUAAGGUAGCGUAAUCACUUGUCUUUUAAAUGAAGACCCGUAUGAAAGGUGUCACGAGGGUCCCCCUGUCUCCUACUUCAAGUCUGUGAAAUUGAUCUACCCGUGCAGAAGCGGGUAUAAGAACAUAAGACGAGAAGACCCUGUGGAGCUUAAGACUAAUCAACCAAUCGUGCCUAACAGCCUAUACACCCAAUAGGAGAUAAAAAGCUAACCAAGCAUAACGACCCCUGAUUGAACUGUCUUCGGUUGGGGCGACCAUGGGGGACAAAAAAGCCUCCAAGAGGANACAGGGGACCAGUUCAACCGAUCCCUAAGAACCAAGAGCCACCGCUCUAAGCAACAGAAAACUCUGGCCAAUAAUGAUCCAGACAUUAGCCUGAUCAACGAACCAAGUUACCCCAGGGAUAACAGCGCAAUCCUUUCCCAGAGCCCAUAUCGCCGAAAGGGUUUACGACCUCGAUGUUGGAUCAGGACAUCCUGGUGGCGAAAAUUCUACCAAGGGUUCGUU
This 554-nucleotide ribosomal RNA is filed under the name Brienomyrus sp. Its description in RNAcentral is "partial 16S ribosomal RNA". It matches the Rfam family "Bacterial large subunit ribosomal RNA", at positions 1858 to 2577 of the family's 2925-position model. The record is from RNAcentral. Lineage: Eukaryota; Metazoa; Chordata; Actinopteri; Osteoglossiformes; Mormyridae.